UAUAGGUUUGGUCCCAGCCCUUCUAUUGGUUGCUAGCAAAACUACACAUGCAAGUAUCCGCGCCCCAGUGAGGAUGCCCCAUAAGUCACCCCACAUGACAAAAAGGAGCGGGUAUCAAGCACACUCCAAGUAGCUCACGACACCUUGCUCAACCACACCCCCACGGGAAACAGCAGUGAUAAAAAUUAAGCAAUAAACGAAAGUUUGACUAAGUUAUGCUUGCUAGGGUUGGUAAAUUUCGUGCCAGCCACCGCGGUCAUACGAUUAACCCUAAUCAAUAGAUUAACGGCGUAAAACGUGUUUAAGAGCCCCGAAUAAUAAAGUCAAACCCUAGCUACGCUGUAAAAAGCCUCAGCUACUGUAAGCCCUCCCACGAAAGUGACUUUAAACCAUCUGAACACACGACAGCUGAGGCCCAAACUGGGAUUAGAUACCCCACUAUGCUCAGCCCUAAACUCAAAGAAUUACCCUAACAAAAUUCUUCGCCAGAGUACUACUAGCUAAAGCUUAAAACUCAAAGGACUUGGCGGUGCUUCAUAUCCUUCUAGAGGAGCCUGUUCUAUAAUCGAUAAACCCCGAUAAACCUCACCAACCCUUGCCAACUCAGCCUAUAUACCGCCAUCUUCAGCAAACCCUAAAAAGGAAUUAUAGUAAGCUCAAAUACAAUACGUAAAAACGUUAGGUCAAGGUGUAGCCUAUGGGUUGGAAAGAAAUGGGCUACAUUUCCUACUAUCCAGGCCACUUCCUAUCAACGAAAGUCCCCAUGAAACCAAGGACUGAAGGUGGAUUUAGCAGUAAGUUAAGAAUAGAGUGCUUAACUGAAUAAGGCCAUGAAGCACGCACACACCGCCCGUCACCCUCCUCAAAUAACUACAGUAAGCAUAACCCUAUUAACACAUACUAUAACUACUAGAGGAGACAAGUCGUAACAAGGUAAGCGUACUGGAAAGUGUGCUUGGACAACA
Molecule: non-coding RNA, 965 nt
Filed under: Phyllostomus hastatus (greater spear-nosed bat)
Lineage: Eukaryota; Metazoa; Chordata; Mammalia; Chiroptera; Phyllostomidae
Description: 12S ribosomal RNA
Rfam family: Bacterial small subunit ribosomal RNA
Source: RNAcentral